RNAcentral lists this ribosomal RNA (253 nucleotides) under uncultured bacterium. Its description in RNAcentral is "partial 16S ribosomal RNA". It matches the Rfam family "Bacterial small subunit ribosomal RNA", at positions 524 to 776 of the family's 1533-position model. The record is from RNAcentral.
UACGUAGGGUGCGAGCGUUGUCCGGAAUUAUUGGGCGUAAAGGGCUCGUAGGCGGUUUGUCGCGUCGGGAGUGAAAACCUUGGGCUUAACUCAGGGCUUGCUUUCGAUACGGGCAGACUAGAGGUAUGCAGGGGAGAACGGAAUUCCUGGUGUAGCGGUGAAAUGCGUAGAUAUCGAGAGGAACACCUGCGGCGAAGGCGGGUUGCUGGGCUGACACUGACGCUGAGGCGCGAAAGCUAGGGGAGCGAACGGG